This is a long non-coding RNA of Amphiprion ocellaris (clown anemonefish), 1873 nucleotides long. The record is from Ensembl. NCBI's taxonomy places the organism in Eukaryota, Metazoa, Chordata, Actinopteri, Pomacentridae.
CAAGUGCAGAGACAUGGAGAAAUUACAGCUGUGGAAUUUGCACGAAUCACAUGAAACCAGCAUGAGAGUCAGCACCUCCAAGUCUGAGGUGCCUCUGUGUGGGAUGAGUAUUUUAGGAUCUUGCCUGUGUAGAUUCUCAGUAAUCCAGGCCAUGGUAAUCCCAGGAGCUUUCGUAGAAAGCAACUGGACUCCUCUUCAGUUUCUUCAAAGAACCUAAAAGAGCAUCCUUCCAGGAUCUUCAAGUUCCACAACCAGGCAGGCUUUGAGAAAAUUGCCCAGAAAAUUCAUUACUAUGGACUUCUCUCUUAGGUUCUUGAAAGAACCUAAAACCUACUGAAGCUCCUAGGAUUUGGGGAUGUUGUUCAAGAAAAUGGAGCGUGAAAUAGACAGACAGAUUGGUGAAGCAUCAGCAGUGAUGCAGCCGUUGUGCCAGGCUGUGGUGAAGAUGGAGCUGAACCGGGAGGCACAGCUCUCCAUUUACCCGUCGGUCGGUGUUCCUCUUCUUUCAAAACCUGAACAGCAAAUUAGCACGUUAGCAGUACUUUUCUAUUUAUGCCUCAGACAAACUAGAGCAGGGGUAGCCAACACGGUGCCCGCAGGCGCCUGGUUGCCUGCAGAGACCACGUGAGUGACACAUGUUCUAAAAAUAACACUAGUCACCAUGAAAUUCUUUAUAAAAAAAUAUAGUUGCUGUUCUUUUUGAAUCGAAAAUACUUAUAUUAAUGCAGAUUUUAAAUUACAAUAUUUAUUAUAUAUUUUUUUAAAAACAAAAAUGUCUUUGGUGUAAAUGAACUUUCACCUUGUCCGAGUCAGAGUUCACUGCGCAUGUCAAACCACCACGUCACUCUGCUGAAGCUUCCGGACGCAGCCACUUUGGGAAGCUAGAUGUGGUUUUUACCCCCAAAACAUGACAGAGAAGUGAAAGAGAAAACACUAUUUUCACGAUGACUGGGAGGAAGAGUUAUUUUUCACGACAGUGAAAGACAAAUGUAUGUGUCCUAUUUGCGGGGCGACUAUUGCGUCCGCCAAGCGGCACAAUGUGGAGAGACGCUACUUUAGCCACCACAAAGCUUCCAUGCUAACUAGCCAUGCUAACUAGCCACCUGGUAGCGCACAUAGACUGUUUGCGCACUAUGGACAGGAAAAUCCCGUUACUUAAAGGCAGCUUUGACAUCUACUACGCGGCGAAAAGUUUCUUCGUGGAGAAAAAUGUACCAUCAGAAAGGCUUGUUUUACUGACGACAGACGGGGCUCCUCCAUGACGGGUCGGCAUGCAGGCUUCAUUGUACUAUGCAGAGGUGAUCCAGACUUCCCAACAUCCCUACAUUACCACUGCAGCAUUCACCAGCAGGACAUAUGUAUGUACAAAAAUGACUGGAUUUGAUCAUGUGAUGACUCCUGUCGUGAAGAUCAUAAAUGGCUCCAAAGCCAAACAACCAGGACAUUGAAGGUGCUGCUGGAGGAGCUGUUAGCUGAACAUGGUGACCUGUUAUUACACACAGAAACCCCAUGGAUCAGCAGGGGACCAGUUUUGCAGCGUUUUUUGUCACUGUUGGCCGAAAUCAAAGAGUUGAUGCAAUCCAAAGGGGAAGACACCUCGCUGUUUGAGGACACUGAGUGGAUUCUUGUCCUUGCAUUUUUAACGGACAUCACUGAGAAACUGAACCAUCUGAACUGUGAGCUGCAAAGUAAAGAUGUUCAGAGGGAGAUGAUGUCACAUCUGGUCCAGCUGAUGGAAGGUCUUGAAGUUCUCUGCAUGGCCUCGACUGAAGAUGGUCGUCUCACUGGAUUUAAGACCUGACCAUGAACACCGUUGACACCCACCUCAGGGAGACGCUGCCUAAGAUCUCAAGGCUGCUUGGUCGUGGUCUUU